UGAGGAAUUUUGCGCAAUGGGGGAAACCCUGACGCAGCGACGCCGCGUGGAGGACGAAGGCCUUCGGGUCGUAAACUCCUGUCAAGAGGGACGAAUCCCCAACAGAUGAAUAAGCUGGUGGGUUGACGGUACCUCUGAAGGAAGCCCCGGCUAACUCCGUGCCAGCAGCCGCGGUAAUACGGAGGGGGCAAGCGUUGUUCGGAAUUAUUGGGCGUAAAGGGCACGCAGGCGGCUAGGCAAGUUGGUGGUGAAAGCCCUCGGCUCAACCGAGGAAUUGCCCCCAAAAACUGCCUGGCUUGAGUCCCGGAGAGGGUGACGGAAUUCCCAGUGUAGCGGUGAAAUGCGUAGAU
This 350-nucleotide ribosomal RNA is filed under the name uncultured bacterium. RNAcentral describes it as "bacterial SSU rRNA". It matches the Rfam family "Bacterial small subunit ribosomal RNA", at positions 355 to 695 of the family's 1533-position model. The record is from RNAcentral.